Molecule: long non-coding RNA, 554 nt
Filed under: Salvia miltiorrhiza (redroot sage)
Lineage: Eukaryota; Viridiplantae; Streptophyta; Magnoliopsida; Lamiales; Lamiaceae
Description: long non-coding RNA (SMIL_LNC009912)
Source: RNAcentral
UCUCUCUCAACCUCACGCGUUCCUGCAUUCAAAUGAUCCAAAAAAGAAAACAAGUUUAAGGACAAAAAUAGAAUUGAGCUAGAAAUCGGCAUUAAUUGGUUCACAGAAAUAGGCAAAAAGGAAUCGGAUUGAGAGAGAACUUGACGCGCUGCGACAUUUCACAAUUGUCGUUGUGUGAGAGCAAGCUUCGGCCGACCGCCGCCCUAUCAACUAGCUCCCUCGGCGCCUCCCUCAAGCAACCGCCGCCGCUGCCCUCUCGCCUAGCUCCCUCAGAGCCGUCGGCAUCCGCAUCUCUCUCAGCGCUGCCUCCCUCAAGCAACCGCCGUCACCCUCUCGACUCCCUCGCCGCCUCCCUCACGCCGCCACCCUCUUGAUUCUUUCGGCGUAUCAAGCAAUCACCGCCGCCGUCGACCCUUUUUUCCACCGGAGAGAGAGAGAGAUAGAGUAAUAGAUUUGGAAAAGAGAGUAGUGAAAAAAGUGUUUUGUGUUAAUUAAGGAAAAAUAAGGGGUAUAAUUAAUUUUACUAAUUAAGGACUUAAAUUGCCUAAUUUUUG